Long non-coding RNA from Scomber scombrus (Atlantic mackerel), 376 nucleotides. RefSeq lists it as uncharacterized. The transcript is spliced from 3 exons. The record is from RefSeq and is a predicted model, not a curated record. NCBI's taxonomy places the organism in Eukaryota, Metazoa, Chordata, Actinopteri, Scombriformes, Scombridae.
GAAGCUAAACCGAUGAAGAGAAGCUAGUUGGAUUUACUUGAUUAAAUCUUGAUUUUUAUCAAGUGAAUUUCGCCCUUUAGUCCCUUGUAAAAUAUCUCAGUGAUUUAAAACGUUUUUUUUUCUAUUCAAAGCACAUAUAUUGCUAGCUUGGACGAACUGUUGUUGUCAAGCAGGAAUCCUCUAAAAUAAGUGAUAUUAUAUCAGUGAUAUUCCGGUGGAAACGUCCGGUGGAUGCCAGACUGAAAGAGAAACAAUGAUGGUAUUUGAUCUGCCGACCCACUGAGCUCCCCGAGAUAAAACAUCUGAUGAAAAUUAACUCCAACGUUACAGAUUCUGGCAUGGAAGACAAGGCAAAUGGCUCUGCUGACACCAAAAG